RNAcentral lists this small nuclear RNA (182 nucleotides) under Propithecus coquereli (Coquerel's sifaka). Its description in RNAcentral is "U1 spliceosomal RNA (ENSPCOG00000009158.1)". It matches the Rfam family "U1 spliceosomal RNA". From Rfam's summary of the family: U1 is a small nuclear RNA (snRNA) component of the spliceosome (involved in pre-mRNA splicing). Its 5' end forms complementary base pairs with the 5' splice junction, thus defining the 5' donor site of an intron. There are significant differences in sequence and secondary structure between metazoan and yeast U1 snRNAs, the latter being much longer (568 nucleotides as compared to 164 nucleotides in human). The record is from Rfam by way of RNAcentral. Lineage: Eukaryota; Metazoa; Chordata; Mammalia; Primates; Indriidae.
AUACUUACCUGGCAGGGAAGAUACCAUGAUCACGAAGGUGGUUUUCCCAGGGUGAGGCUUAUACAUUGCACUCCGGAUGUGCUGACCCCUGCGAUUUUCCCAAAUGUGGGAAACUCAACUGCAUAAUUUGUGGUAGUGGGGAUAAAAAAAAAUAGAACUACCAUAUUAUCCAGCAAUCCCAC